ACUACACUUAAUGGAUAAUGAAAACCCUGUAAUCAAAGUAUUUAAUUUAUUAUUAAAUCGUUGAUGAAAUAUUCUUUAGACUAUUCAAUUUAUUGAAAAAUUCAAAAUUUAUUGGACGUCGGCUAACUUAAGUAUCCACUUUAUUUAUGUACUCACAUGGUCUUUGAGAAACCAUUGUUGGAAAUAUGUUAGUCCUACAGAUAAUAAAAAAUAUGUGCCGAUCAACAUCAAAGAUCUUCCAAAAAUAUUCCAAAAAGUUUUCGGUACUUUUGAUGUCGUUUGAUAUUCCUGUGCAUGCUGCAGAUAACAAUCCAGUGGUUCUGGUUCAUCUCUUGCUGCUUCAUAUUUGACAUCCGAUAUUGGCAUAUUAACUUUUUUUAGAUUAUUAUUUACAAUUAAAAAUUAAUUAUCAUUUAUUUGUAUAAAUUAUGAAUUAAACAUCACACUUGUUGUUUUUAGAUUUUUUU
Microplitis mediator is the source of this 467-nucleotide long non-coding RNA. RefSeq lists it as uncharacterized. The record is from RefSeq and is a predicted model, not a curated record. NCBI's taxonomy places the organism in Eukaryota, Metazoa, Arthropoda, Insecta, Hymenoptera, Braconidae. The transcript has 2 exons.